RNAcentral lists this ribosomal RNA (407 nucleotides) under uncultured bacterium. Its description in RNAcentral is "partial 16S ribosomal RNA". It matches the Rfam family "Bacterial small subunit ribosomal RNA", at positions 28 to 526 of the family's 1533-position model. The record is from RNAcentral.
GACGAACGCUGGCGGCGUGCUUAACACAUGCAAGUCGAACGAAGUGGCGAACGGGUGAGUAAUACGUGAGUAACCUUCCCUCCUUUUUGGGAUAAGCCUUGGAAACGGGGUCUAAUACCGAAUAAAGGGGGAUGGGCUCGCGGCCUAUCAGCGUGUUGCUGGGGUGAUGGCCUACCAAGGCGGUGACGUGUAGCCGGCCUGAGAGGGUGAUCGGCAAGGUUAGGACGGAGAUACUGCCAAGAGUGCUAGGGGAGGCAGAAAUGGGGGAUAUGGCACAAGGGGGGAAGGGCUGAUGCAGCGAAGCCGUGUGGGGAUGAAGGCUUUAGGGGUGUAAACCUCUUGAGCUAUCGAAUGGGUAGGUGGAGAAGAAGCGACGGCUAACUACGUGCCAGCAGCCGCGGUAAUAC